This 440-nucleotide ribosomal RNA is filed under the name uncultured bacterium. Its description in RNAcentral is "partial 16S ribosomal RNA". It matches the Rfam family "Bacterial small subunit ribosomal RNA", at positions 338 to 795 of the family's 1533-position model. The record is from RNAcentral.
CCUACGGGUGGCAGCAGCGGGGAAUAUUGCACAAUGGGGGAAACCCUGAUGCAGCGACGCCGCGUGAGUGAAGAAGUAUUUCGGUACGUAAAGCUCUAUCAGCAGGGAAGAAAAUGACGGUACCUGACUAAGAAGCCCCGGUUAACUACGUGCCAGCAGCGGCGGUAAUACGUAGGGGGCAAGCGUUAUCCGGAUUUACUGGGUGUAAAGGGAGCGUAGACGGCAGCGCAAGUCUGGAGUGAAAUCCCAUGGCUUAACCAUGGAACUGCUUUGGAAACUGUGCAGCUAGAGUGCAGGAGAGGUAAGCGGAAUUCCUAGUGUAGCGGUGAAAUGCGUAGAUAUUAGGAGGAACACCAGUGGCGAAGGCGGCUUACUGGACUGUAACUGACGUUGAGGCUCGAAAGCGUGGGGAGCAAACAGGAUUAGAUACCCUUGUAGUC